CAGAGAGCUUGCUCUCGGGUGACGAGUGGCGGACGGGUGAGUAAUGUCUGGGAAACUGCCUGAUGGAGGGGGAUAACUACUGGAAACGGUAGCUAAUACCGCAUAACGUCGCAAGACCAAAGAGGGGGACCUUCGGGCCUCUUGCCAUCAGAUGUGCCCAGAUGGGAUUAGCUAGUAGGUGGGGUAACGGCUCACCUAGGCGACGAUCCCUAGCUGGUCUGAGAGGAUGACCAGCCACACUGGAACUGAGACACGGUCCAGACUCCUACGGGAGGCAGCAGUGGGGAAUAUUGCACAAUGGGCGCAAGCCUGAUGCAGCCAUGCCGCGUGUAUGAAGAAGGCCUUCGGGUUGUAAAGUACUUUCAGCGGGGAGGAAGGUGUUGUGGUUAAUAACCGCAGCAAUUGACGUUACCCGCAGAAGAAGCACCGGCUAACUCCGUGCCAGCAGCCGCGGUAAUACGGAGGGUGCAAGCGUUAAUCGGAAUUACUGGGCGUAAAGCGCACGCAGGCGGUCUGUCAAGUCGGAU
RNAcentral lists this ribosomal RNA (527 nucleotides) under Enterobacter sp. RNAcentral's name for it is "bacterial SSU rRNA". It matches the Rfam family "Bacterial small subunit ribosomal RNA", at positions 72 to 593 of the family's 1533-position model. Lineage: Bacteria; Pseudomonadati; Pseudomonadota; Gammaproteobacteria; Enterobacterales; Enterobacteriaceae. The record is from RNAcentral.